UAUAGGGCAAAUUGGAUUAAUAUACACAUAUGCCUCUGUCUUCUUGAAUACACCAAGUACGAGCUCAGACCCAGAUCUCCUCAUAUUGCCAAAUUGUUCCAGCUAAUCCCUUUCACUAUUCAAUGCAACUACACCUGGCACAGUGAAACCAGCUAUAGUGCAUGGGGAUUUUUGCCACCUGGGAGGGAAAGUAGAGUUAAUGUUGGGCUGACAUGUAUUUUAGUACUGUAUUUCCUGGUACUCAUAAGCUUAAGUCACAUUAAGUCCUUGUUUCUUGGUUUUCAGAUAUCUGAAGGACACUGUAUUCAACAUUCUGAAAUUUCAGCCAAUGCUUAAGUUUCAUUGAAGCAUAUAGCAGGUAAGU
Molecule: long non-coding RNA, 364 nt
Filed under: Struthio camelus australis
Lineage: Eukaryota; Metazoa; Chordata; Aves; Struthioniformes; Struthionidae
Description: lncRNA (ENSSCUG00000010721.1)
Source: RNAcentral